RNAcentral lists this non-coding RNA (22 nucleotides) under Arabidopsis thaliana (thale cress). Lineage: Eukaryota; Viridiplantae; Streptophyta; Magnoliopsida; Brassicales; Brassicaceae. The record is from RNAcentral.
AGGGUCAAUCGGGCCUGGUUCA